CAGUCGCCGCGGUAAUACGUAGGGUGCAAGCGUUAAUCGGAAUUACUGGGCGUAAAGCGUGCGCAGGCGGUUAUAUAAGACAGUCGUGAAAUCCCCGGGCUCAACCUGGGAACUGCGAUUGUGACUGUAUGGCUAGAGUGUGUCAGAGGGGGGUAGAAUUCCACGUGUAGCAGUGAAAUGCGUAGAUAUGUGGAGGAAUACCGAUGGCGAAGGCAGCCCCCUGGGAUAACACUGACGCUCAUGCACGAAAGCGUGGGGAGCAAACAGGAUUAGAUACCCCCGUAGUCCCUGUCUCUUAUAC
Molecule: ribosomal RNA, 301 nt
Filed under: uncultured bacterium
Lineage: Bacteria
Description: partial 16S ribosomal RNA
Rfam family: Bacterial small subunit ribosomal RNA
Source: RNAcentral